AUAAAGUGUCCAGGGAUGGGAAUCGAACCCACAGUGUUCCGCUUACCGGGCAUAUGCCAUGUCAACUAGGCUACUAUUUA
RNAcentral lists this transfer RNA (80 nucleotides) under Cordylochernes scorpioides. RNAcentral's name for it is "tRNA-Thr". Lineage: Eukaryota; Metazoa; Arthropoda; Arachnida; Pseudoscorpiones; Chernetidae. The record is from RNAcentral.